UCGACGAGUUUGAUCAUGGCUCAGGAUGAACGCUAGCGGCAGGCCUAAUACAUGCAAGUCAAGGGGAUAGCAAUAUCACCGGCGGACGGGUGCGUAACGCGUACACAACGUGCCCAAGGGCGGAGGAAAGCGGCGGGAAACUGCCGGUAAUACUCCAUGGUGUUGUUGAGUGGCAUCACUUAACAACUAAAGUACAAGCGCCCUUGGAUCGGUGUGCGUUCGAUUAGCUAGUUGGCGGGGUAACGGCCCACCAAGGCUUCGAUCGAUAGGGGGUGUGAGAGCAUGACCCCCCCACACGGGUACUGAGACACGGACCCGACUCCUACGGGAGGCAGCAGUAAGGAAUAUUGGACAAUGGGCGGAAGCCUGAUCCAGCCAUGCCGCGUGAAGGACGAAGGCGCUCAGCGUUGUAAACUUCUUUUGGAUGGGAACAAUAACUCCGACUUGUCGGAACUUGAGGGUACCAUCAGAAUAAGCACCGGCUAACUCCGUG
RNAcentral lists this ribosomal RNA (493 nucleotides) under uncultured bacterium. RNAcentral describes it as "bacterial SSU rRNA". It matches the Rfam family "Bacterial small subunit ribosomal RNA", at positions 1 to 507 of the family's 1533-position model. The record is from RNAcentral.